GGAUACAGAGGGGCUUCCCUGGUGGCACAGUGGUUGAGAAUCUGCCUGCCAAUGCAGGGGACAUGGGUUUGAGCCCUGGUCCGGGAAGAUCCCACAUGCUGCGGAGCAACUAAGCCCAUGCAUCACAACUACUGAGCCUGUGCUCU
Aethalodelphis obliquidens (Pacific white-sided dolphin) is the source of this 146-nucleotide long non-coding RNA. RefSeq lists it as uncharacterized. Lineage: Eukaryota; Metazoa; Chordata; Mammalia; Artiodactyla; Delphinidae. The transcript has 3 exons. The record is from RefSeq and is a predicted model, not a curated record.